AUUAACUCCAUUUUUGCUAUGAAUUAGGAAGCAAGGAUGUCUAUUUUCAAUAGAAAGAGAACAGUGAUGUCAUGUGGGGCUUCAACUGGUUGGGACACUAAUAGUAAAGAAAUAAGUAAAAUUUCUCGAAAGAGUUGAUGUCAGAAAUAGAAAUGAAAGUUGAAUCUAGGGACAAGCAAAAUGGUGGCCAAGUGGCACUGAGAGCUGGGAGGAUGGUUGGGCCAUACACUGCACCCUUCACUCACAUCAUCUCACCCAAUCUUGCCAACAGUCUAGCAAGAAGAGCUUAUUCUGACUUUCUGGAUGAGAAAUCCGAAGUCCACCGUGGGGAAGUACCAUGCACAAGCUCAUGAAGCUGGGAGGUGGUAGAGCCAAGAUUCCAGAGAUGAUGAACUUUCCCCUACAACAUGCCACUUGAGAUACAAAGAGGAAUAGAAUAUACAGUCGCUGCUCUCAGCUCUCACACACUAUUGGGAACAAAAGCAUAUAAAUAACUAUAAAACAAUGAGAUGAACGUGAAACUCGUUUAUGAGCAAAGUGCCGUGGGAAUAUAGGCUUGUAAAUUCUCCCAGGCGGCUGUAUAUUUACGGUCAGCAGGAAGGGAGAACAGGAAUGACGAAGGCAAGAUAUUAAUAAAAUCUCACGAUAAUACAAUGAGUAUCCUUCACUGCUACUUUAUUUUAAAAUAUGUAUCCAUCAUUUCUCAUUUUGAACCAGCAACUUCUUUAGUUAAUAUGUAGUUGGUUAUUAUGAGCCUGAUUUGCAGAUUUUUAAAAGUAGAGAGUUUAAGACUCAUAUAGUUAAAGUGAAGUGCUUCGAGAUACGAAAACUUUUACAUUUUGUAUAAGGAAUGAGGGAAAUAGGAAUUUAAAUGUAUAGUUAUAGACUAAGUGUAUAUAUAGAUAUAGCAAAGACUAUAUCUAGUUUUUGCACGAAGAAACGCUAGAAGGAAAAACCAAAAACCUCUCGGGUAGAGGUGUGGGGAACGAUUAGAAGGGAUAGGCAUAUAAAGACAUAAAGUAGAAUGGUAGUUGCCAGGGGCUGGGGCAAGGGUACAACGAGGAGUGGUUGUUUAAUGGGUUUAAGGGUUUCAAUUUUGCAAGAUGAAAAAGUUCUGCAGAUUGUUUGUACAACAAUGUGAAUACAUUUUACAUCACUGAACUGUACAGUCGAAAAUGAUUAAGAUGGUAAAUUUUGUUAUAGAUAUUUUACCACAAUUUUUAAAAAUCUGAAUCAAAACAGCAGUAUGAGCUCCUGAUUUUUAAAAAUAUAUUUCUUAGUGCUGUCCUUUGAAAGGACCAGAAGCAAUGGCAUCCUUAGUCUUGGUUUCUCAUGCCAUUUCCCACCAAAAGGACCAGAACUCCUUAGACAAAUGCCUGAUUUCAGUCCUGGGCAGAGAAAUACAAGAUGAGCCCAGGACAUCUUAAUGCACCAAAAAGCAGGAAAGCUCUGAAAGACUAAUGGGGAUGUGCCAAAAGGACACAAGAGCCAGGGUGAAGAGGCUCCCACUGGACAGAUCCAAACAAUCCGGACAUCAAAAGGAAUAACUGAUUGUAAAAUAUUAAAUUUUUAAAACUCGAUGAGUUCAUGGAGACAGAAAUUAUUACACCAACA
Long non-coding RNA from Equus asinus (donkey), 1614 nucleotides. NCBI's taxonomy places the organism in Eukaryota, Metazoa, Chordata, Mammalia, Perissodactyla, Equidae. The record is from Ensembl.